UGUUAAAAUUUUUAUCUAUUUUGACUGUUAAAAACUAAUGCGGCUGAUAGAGUAACUAGUUAGUUUCAUGUGACCUGCCACGUGUACCUUAUUCCAACAUAGAGGAACCAAUUUUUAAUGAUAGAGUUGGAUGGAAUUUUUAACA
RNAcentral lists this microRNA precursor (145 nucleotides) under Gossypium hirsutum (cotton). RNAcentral's name for it is "MIR7502 microRNA precursor family". It matches the Rfam family "MIR7502 microRNA precursor family". Lineage: Eukaryota; Viridiplantae; Streptophyta; Magnoliopsida; Malvales; Malvaceae. The record is from Rfam by way of RNAcentral.